RNAcentral lists this ribosomal RNA (301 nucleotides) under uncultured Pyrobaculum sp. RNAcentral's name for it is "bacterial SSU rRNA". It matches the Rfam family "Bacterial small subunit ribosomal RNA", at positions 494 to 795 of the family's 1533-position model. Lineage: Archaea; Thermoproteati; Thermoproteota; Thermoprotei; Thermoproteales; Thermoproteaceae. The record is from RNAcentral.
CGGGUGAAUAAGGGCGAGCAGGCGGGGGAAGAAGUAGGGGGGUAGCGUUAUCCGGGUUGUGUUGGGGUAAAGGGUGCUGAGGUGGGCAUUAAAGACGUGGGUUAAAGGCUACGGCUCAACCGUAUUAAGCCGCCGAAACUGGAAGAAUGGAGUGCAGGAGAGGAAAGUGGAAUUCUCAGUGUAGCGGUGAAAUGCGUAGAUAUUGAGAAGAACACCAGUAGCGAAGGCGGCUUUCUGGACUGUAACUGACACUGAGGCACGAAAGCGUGGGUAGCAAACAGGAUUAGAUACCCUUGUAGUC